GGAUAUGCAACCUGCCUGUAAAUAGGGAAUAACCCGGUGAAAAGUCGGGAUAAUCCCUAUAUUCUUCUUUCUCCGCAUGGAGGAGGACGGAAAAAUUUAUUGAUUACAGAUGGGCAUGCGUCCCAUUAGCUGGUUGGUAAAGGUAACGGCUUACCAAGGCAACGAUGGGUAGGGGGACUGAGAGGUUGACCCCCCACACUGGUACUGAGACACGGACCAGACUCCUACGGGAGGCAGCAGUGAGGAAUAUUGGUCAAUGGGCGAGAGCCUGAACCAGCCAAGUCGCGUGAAGGACGACGGUUCUAUGGAUUGUAAACUUCUUUUGUAGAGGAAUAACGGCAGCUACGUGUAGCUGAGAUGCAUGUACUCUACGAAUAAGUAUCGGCUAACUCCGUGCCAGCAGCCGCGGUAAUACGGAGGAUACGAGCGUUAUCCGGAAUUAUUGGGUUUAAAGGGUGCGUAGGUGGCGUAUUAAGUCAGUGGUGAAAAGCUGCAGCUCAACUGUAGUCUUGCCGUUGAAACUGAUAUGCUAGAGAGGAGACGAGGUAUGCGGAAUGUGUGGUGUAGCGGUGAAAUGCAUAGAUAUCACACAGAACGCCGAUUGCGAAGGCAGCGUACCAGGCUCCGUCUGACACUGAAGCACGAAAGCGUGGGGAUCAAACAGG
This 665-nucleotide ribosomal RNA is filed under the name Porphyromonas endodontalis. RNAcentral's name for it is "bacterial SSU rRNA". It matches the Rfam family "Bacterial small subunit ribosomal RNA", at positions 115 to 776 of the family's 1533-position model. The record is from RNAcentral. Lineage: Bacteria; Pseudomonadati; Bacteroidota; Bacteroidia; Bacteroidales; Porphyromonadaceae.